GUGAGCUGGGUUUAGACCGUCGUGAGACAGGUCGGAUUCUACCUGUUGGGGGUGCUGGCUGCCUGAGGGUAGGGGGCCCUCGGUACGAGAGGAACGGGGCGUCGCGGCCUCUAGUUUACCGGUUGUCCGGUAGGGCAUUGCCGGGCAGCCACGCCGUAACCGAUAAGGGCUGAAAGCAUCUAAGCCCGAAGCGGGACCCGAAAAUAGGCAGCCAUUCCCCAGCGAUCCCCUUUAUGGGGGCCGGGGCAGGCGACUGCAACGGUUGCUGGGGACGAGGACUCCCGUAGAAGACGGGGUUGAUGGGGUCGGGGUGUAAGCGUCAAGGUCUUUUGACCGAGGCGUUCAGCCCGCGACUCCCAACCGUCCGAGCGUGCGGGUCC
RNAcentral lists this ribosomal RNA (380 nucleotides) under Candidatus Jordarchaeia archaeon. Its description in RNAcentral is "partial 23S ribosomal RNA". It matches the Rfam family "Archaeal large subunit ribosomal RNA", at positions 2669 to 2987 of the family's 2987-position model. The record is from RNAcentral. Lineage: Archaea; Promethearchaeati; Candidatus Jordarchaeia.